Molecule: unclassified non-coding RNA, 380 nt
Filed under: fungal sp.
Lineage: Eukaryota; Fungi
Description: partial internal transcribed spacer region
Rfam family: Eukaryotic small subunit ribosomal RNA (bases 1-46)
Source: RNAcentral
AAGUCGUAACAAGGUUUCCGUAGGUGAACCUGCGGAAGGAUCAUUAACACGUAUCCAAACGUUAAAACCCCCCCCGUGAACCUUCAUCCUGCUCUUGUAACCCGCGUAGUUCGCAAUCUCUGAUAAAUCAUAGCCCGGAAAGUUGUAGUGAUUCAGAGACCUCUGGCUACGUGCGAACAUUGGAACAGUUACAAUCGAGCGGUAGUUCUAUAGGCAAUGUUUCCCCAAGCAGUCAGUGUCGGAAAGUGUCAUUGAUUGUGCAAGGAUAGCGCUUCUACGAUUCCUGUAGACCGUACACUCGCACAGUUUAAUGUGAAGCUCAAUGUAAUACAUUGGGUAAAAACACGGAACAACUGUUAACAAUGGAUAUCUUGGUUCUC